This is a long non-coding RNA of Sardina pilchardus (European sardine), 610 nucleotides long. RefSeq lists it as uncharacterized. Lineage: Eukaryota; Metazoa; Chordata; Actinopteri; Clupeiformes; Clupeidae. The transcript is spliced from 2 exons. The record is from RefSeq and is a predicted model, not a curated record.
UAACAAUUUUCGGAGAGAUUACGUGAAGGAAGCAAUCAUUACGAACACAGAGUCAAAGUAAAGAAAUAGCUCUAUAGCAGUAAUUGCUACUGUAGCUUUGAAGAAGUGAACUUGUGAGGUGUGAAUUCCCUUGUUAUAGAAGACGUCGGGUUAUGUUCUGAUUAUUGAAGUCUCGGCUGGGUUUUUAUGACACUGGAACUCUUCCCUGCGCGGAGGAUGGCGAGCCACCAAGACUGAAUCACCUCGGAGGAAACCCUUCCGUGUGCACCUUCUGUGUGGUAGGACUGAUCGUUAACCACACAAUUGACUGAAUCUUCUUUUUUUGAAUUAUCCAACCGGAUACUAUCGGGUAGGAUUGAAACACACACUUGAUUGAACAACGUUGGAAUUCUCAUCUGGACUAUUCUAUUUUUUGUAGUUUGAACAUUGUUGCAACUGCGAAACCAUAACUUUUAUGGGUGCACCCUGUUCUUUGGGACUGUUGGUUAAUAGCUCAUAACUGGAAAUACCAGAACACACAUACACUGAUAUAACAAAGAACCAACUUUAUUUUGGGUCAUUGAGAAUUGUGUAUGUAUAUGAUUGAGAAUACAUUUUAUGCUUUACUUAA